GUGAACGCUGGCGGUAGGCCUCACCCCUGCCAGUCGAACGGCAGCACAGUAAGAGCUUGCUCUUACGGGUGGCGAGUGGCGGACGGGUGAGGAAUACAUCGGAAUCUACUUUUUCGUGGGGGAUAACGUAGGGAAACUUACGCUAAUACCGCAUACGACCUACGGGUGAAAGCAGGGGAUCUUCGGACCUUGCGCGAUUGAAUGAGCCGAUGUCGGAUUAGCUAGUUGGCGGGGUAAAGGCCCACCAAGGCGACGAUCCGUAGCUGGUCUGAGAGGAUGAUCAGCCACACUGGAACUGAGACACGGUCCAGACUCCUACGGGAGGCAGCAGUGGGGAAUAUUGGACAAUGGGCGCAAGCCUGAUCCAGCCAUACCGCGUGGGUGAAGAAGGCCUUCGGGUUGUAAAGCCCUUUUGUUGGGAAAGAAAAGCAGCAGGUUAAUACCCCGCUGUUCUGACGGUACCCAAAGAAUAAGCACCGGCUAACUUCGU
RNAcentral lists this ribosomal RNA (490 nucleotides) under uncultured bacterium. Its description in RNAcentral is "partial 16S ribosomal RNA". It matches the Rfam family "Bacterial small subunit ribosomal RNA", at positions 29 to 506 of the family's 1533-position model. The record is from RNAcentral.